This 872-nucleotide ribosomal RNA is filed under the name uncultured Acidobacteriaceae bacterium. RNAcentral's name for it is "bacterial SSU rRNA". It matches the Rfam family "Bacterial small subunit ribosomal RNA", at positions 205 to 1096 of the family's 1533-position model. The record is from RNAcentral. Lineage: Bacteria; Pseudomonadati; Acidobacteriota; Terriglobia; Terriglobales; Acidobacteriaceae.
AGCAAUGCGCUUGGAGAGGAGUUCGCGGCAGAUUAGUUAGUUGGCAGGGUAAUGGCCUACCAAGACGAUGAUCUGUAUCCGGCCUGAGAGGGCGCACGGACACACUGGAACUGAAACACGGUCCAGACUCNUACGGGAGGCAGCAGUGGGGAAUUUUGCGCAAUGGGGGAAACCCUGACGCAGCAACGCCGCGUGGAGGAUGAGGUAUCUCGGUACGUAAACUCCUUUCGAUGGGGAAGAUAAUGACGGUACCCAUAGAAGAAGCCCCGGCUAACUUCGUGCCAGCAGCCGCGGUAAUACGAGGGGGGCAAGCGUUGUUCGGAUUUAUUGGGCGUAAAGGGUGCGUAGGCGGUUUGGCAAGUCUUAUGUGAAAUCUAUGGGCUCAACCCAUAGUCUGCAUGAGAAACUACCGGGCUUGAGUGAUGGAGAGGUGAGUGGAAUUUCCGGUGUAGCGGUGAAAUGCGUAGAUAUCGGAAGGAACACCUGUGGCGAAAGCGGCUCACUGGACAUUAACUGACGCUGAUGCACGAAAGCUAGGGGAGCAAACAGGAUUAGAUACCCUGGUAGUCCUAGCCCUAAACGAUGAUUGCUUGGUGUGGCAGGUACCCAAUCCUGCCGUGCCGAAGCUAACGCGAUAAGCAAUCCGCCUGGGGAGUACGGUCGCAAGACUGAAACUCAAAGGAAUUGACGGGGGCCCGCACAAGCGGUGGAGCAUGUGGUUUAAUUCGACGCAACGCGAAGAACCUUACCUGGGCUCGAAAUGCACAAGAAUCCGGCAGAAACGUCGGCGCCUAGCAAUAGGCUUGUGUAUAGGUGCUGCAUGGCUGUCGUCAGCUCGUGUCGUGAGAUGUUGGGGUAAGUCCCGCAACGAG